GAUGAACGCUGGCGGCGUGCUUAACACAUGCAAGUCGAACGGUGAAGGCGGAGCUUGCUCUGCUGGAUCAGUGGCGAACGGGUGAGUAACACGUGAGCAAUCUGCCCCUGACUCUGGGAUAAGCGCUGGAAACGGCGUCUAAUACUGGAUACGAGCUGCGAAGGCAUCUUCAGCAGCUGGAAAGAAUUUCGGUCAGGGAUGAGCUCGCGGCCUAUCAGCUUGUUGGUGGGGUAAUGGCUCACCAAGGCGUCGACGGGUAGCCGGCCUGAGAGGGUGACCGGCCACACUGGGACUGAGACACGGCCCAGACUCCUACGGGAGGCAGCAGUGGGGAAUAUUGCACAAUGGGCGAAAGCCUGAUGCAGCAACGCCGCGUGAGGGACGACGGCCUUCGGGUUGUAAACCUCUUUUAGCAGGGAAGAAGCGAAAGUGACGGUACCUGCAGAAAAAGCGCCGGCUAACUACGUG
Molecule: ribosomal RNA, 468 nt
Filed under: uncultured bacterium
Lineage: Bacteria
Description: partial 16S ribosomal RNA
Rfam family: Bacterial small subunit ribosomal RNA
Source: RNAcentral